GACGAACGCUGGCGGCGUGCUUAACACAUGCAAGUCGAACGGAAAGGCCCUUCGGGGUACUCGAGUGGCGAACGGGUGAGUAACACGUGGGUGAUCUGCCCUGCACUUUGGGAUAAGCCUGGGAAACUGGGACUAAUACCGAAUAGGACCACGCGCUCCAUGUUGUGUGGUGGAAAGCUUUGGCGGUGUGGGAUGGGCACGCGGCCUAUCAGCUUGUUGGUGGGGUAAUGGCCUACCAAGGCGACGACGGGUAGCCGGCCUGAGAGGGUGACCGGCCACACUGGGACUGAGAUACGGCCCAGACUCCUACGGGAGGCAGCAGUGGGGAAUAUUGCACAAUGGGCGCAAGCCUGAUGCAGCGACGCCGCGUGAGGGAUGACGGCCUUCGGGUUGUAAACCUCUUUCAAUAGGGACGAAGCGCAAGUGACGGUACCUAUAGAAGAAGCACCGGCCAACUACGUG
This 462-nucleotide ribosomal RNA is filed under the name uncultured bacterium. RNAcentral describes it as "partial 16S ribosomal RNA". It matches the Rfam family "Bacterial small subunit ribosomal RNA", at positions 28 to 507 of the family's 1533-position model. The record is from RNAcentral.